Molecule: ribosomal RNA, 565 nt
Filed under: Dothistroma septosporum
Lineage: Eukaryota; Fungi; Ascomycota; Dothideomycetes; Mycosphaerellales; Mycosphaerellaceae
Description: eukaryotic LSU rRNA
Rfam family: Eukaryotic large subunit ribosomal RNA
Source: RNAcentral
GCAUAUCAAUAAGCGGAGGAAAAGAAACCAACAGGGAUUSCCCUAGUAACGGCGAGUGAAGCGGCAACAGCUCAAAUUUGAAAUCUGGCGCAAGCCCGAGUUGUAAUUUGUAGAGGAUGCUUCUGGCCAGCGGCCGUUCUAAGUUCCUUGGAACAGGACGUCAUAGAGGGUGAGAAUCCCGUAUGUGACCGGCGCGCAGCCUUUACGUAGCUCCUUCGACGAGUCGAGUUGUUUGGGAAUGCAGCUCUAAAUGGGAGGUAAAUUUCUUCUAAAGCUAAAUACCGGCCAGAGACCGAUAGCGCACAAGUAGAGUGAUCGAAAGAUGAAAAGCACUUUGGAAAGAGAGUUAAAAAGCACGUGAAAUUGUUGAAAGGGAAGCGCUUGCAACCAGACUUCGUAGCGAUGUUCCGCCGGUCUUCUGACCGGUCUACUCAUCGUCGCGAGGCCAACAUCGUCUGGGGCCGCCGGAUAAGACCUAAGGAAUGUAGCUUCCCUCGGGAAGUGUUAUAGCCUUUGGUGAUGCGGCGCGUCUCGGGCGAGGUCCGCGCUUCGGCAAGGAUKUGGC